Rattus norvegicus (Norway rat) is the source of this 139-nucleotide small nuclear RNA. Ensembl annotates it as U2 spliceosomal RNA. NCBI's taxonomy places the organism in Eukaryota, Metazoa, Chordata, Mammalia, Rodentia, Muridae. The record is from Ensembl.
AUCGCUUCUCGGCCUUUUGGCUAAGAUCAAGUGUAGCAAUAAGAAAAUUCACUAAUAUAGGUUUGGGUAUUGUAAAUUUAUCUGUUAUGGUUGGACAUUGUUUUUAUGAACUAUAUUAUUUUUUACAAAGCACACACAU